Long non-coding RNA from Melitaea cinxia (Glanville fritillary), 290 nucleotides. RefSeq lists it as uncharacterized. NCBI's taxonomy places the organism in Eukaryota, Metazoa, Arthropoda, Insecta, Lepidoptera, Nymphalidae. The record is from RefSeq and is a predicted model, not a curated record. The transcript is spliced from 3 exons.
CGUUGAUGCCGUGGUUGGCUGCUAGAACCCCAACAUUUACGAUAAAGAAUUGCUCAACCUCUUCGGAUCAGCAUCGGGAUUCUUCCCUCUGGCCGAGCAACAUUUUUUUUAACCCCGGCUGACAUCGUGAUAGAGAUGGUGUCGUGGAGAUGGACAAAUGAACUCGAGAGACUCGGGUUGUGUUAAACUCGUUCAUUUAAUCCAUAAAAGGAAGAUAAUGUUGUUUGUUCAUUCAAAUUUGUAUUAAGCUUAAAAUUGUGUUUCCUUGUAUUAAAUUACUUCCUACAUUA